RNAcentral lists this ribosomal RNA (2104 nucleotides) under Asticcacaulis currens. RNAcentral's name for it is "partial 23S ribosomal RNA". It matches the Rfam family "Bacterial large subunit ribosomal RNA", at positions 689 to 2925 of the family's 2925-position model. Lineage: Bacteria; Pseudomonadati; Pseudomonadota; Alphaproteobacteria; Caulobacterales; Caulobacteraceae. The record is from RNAcentral.
AGAGCGUUAAGUUCGUCGCAUGACGACCCGAAACCAGGUGAUCUAUCCAUGAGCAGGAUGAAGGUAGGGUAACACCUACUGGAGGUCCGAACCGGUGUCUGUUGAAAAAGACUCGGAUGACUUGUGGAUAGGGGUGAAAGGCCAAUCAAACCUGGACAUAGCUGGUUCUCCGCGAAAUCUAUUUAGGUAGAGCGUCGGAUGUAUUCCUUGGGGGGUAGAGCACUGGAUGGAUGCGGGCGGCGCGAGCUGUACCAAUUCUAACCAAACUCCGAAUACCCAAGAGAACUGUCCGGCAGACACACGGCGGGUGCUAACGUCCGUCGUGAAAAGGGAAACAACCCUAACCAUCAUCUAAGGCCCCCAAGUUAUGGCUAAGUGGGAAACGAUGUGGGAUUGCAUUGACAAUCAGGAGGUUGGCUUAGAAGCAGCCAUCCUUUAAAGAAAGCGUAACAGCUCACUGAUCAAGCGAUCCUGCGCGGAAAAUGUAACGGGGCUCAAGCCAUACGCCGAAGAUAUGGGUUCACGUAAGUGAGCGGUAGCGGAGCGUUCCGUAAGCCUGAGAAGGUCAAUCGUGAGGUUGGCUGGAGGUAUCGGAAGUGAGAAUGCUGACAUGAGUAGCGAUAAAGAGUGUGAGAGACACUCUCGCCGAAAGACCAAGGGUUCCUGCGUAAAGCUAAUCUGCGCAGGGUUAGCCAGCCCCUAAGGCGAGGCCGAAAGGCGUAGUCGAUGGGAAUCCGGUGAAUAUUCCGGAGCCAGUAUGAAGUGACGGAUGGUGUAAGUUGUACGUGCUUAUUGGAUUGUACGUGCAGCGAAGCUGUCCCUGGAAAUAACUCAUACAUAGACUGUACCCGAAACCGACACAGGUGGUCAGGUAGAGCAUACCAAGGCGCUUGAGAGAACUAUGCUGAAGGAACUCGGCAAAUUACACGCGUAACUUCGGGAUAAGCGUGACUCACCUUGCGCAAGCAGGACUGAGUGGCACAAGCCAGGGGGUAGCGACUGUUUAUCAAAAACACAGGGCUCUGCGAAGCUGUAAAGCGACGUAUAGGGUCUGACGCCUGCCCGGUGCCGGAAGGUUAAAAGGAGGGGUGCAAGCUCCGAAUUGAAGCCCCGGUAAACGGCGGCCGUAACUAUAACGGUCCUAAGGUAGCGAAAUUCCUUGUCGGGUAAGUUCCGACCUGCACGAAUGGCGUAACGACUUCCCCACUGUCUCCAGCAUAGGCUCAGCGAAAUUGAAUUCCCCGUGAAGAUGCGGGGUUCCCGCGGUCAGACGGAAAGACCCUAUGAACCUUUACUAUAGCUUCGCCUUGGCGUUAGCAGCAACAUGUGUAGGAUAGGUGGGAGGCUAUGAAGCAGGGGCGCCAGUCUCUGUGGAGCCAUCCUUGAAAUACCACCCUUAUUGCUGUUGGCGUCUAACCGCGGCCCGUCUAUCCGGGUCCGGGACAUGGCGUGGUGGGUAGUUUGACUGGGGCGGUCGCCUCCCAAAGUGUAACGGAGGCGCGCGAUGGUGGGCUCAGAACGGUCGGAAAUCGUUCGCUGAGUGCAAUGGCAUAAGCCCGCCUGACUGCGAGACUGACAAGUCGAGCAGAGACGAAAGUCGGCCAUAGUGAUCCGGUGGUCCUGCGUGGAAGGGCCAUCGCUCAACGGAUAAAAGGUACUCUAGGGAUAACAGGCUGAUUUUGCCCAAGAGUCCAUAUCGACGGCAAAGUUUGGCACCUCGAUGUCGGCUCAUCACAUCCUGGGGCUGGAGCAGGUCCCAAGGGUAUGGCUGUUCGCCAUUUAAAGUGGUACGUGAGCUGGGUUCAGAACGUCGUGAGACAGUUUGGUCCCUAUCUGCCGUGGGUGUUCGAGACUUGAGAGGAUCUGUCCCUAGUACGAGAGGACCGGGAUGGACAUACCUCUGGUGGACCUGUCGUGGCGCCAGCCGCGCAGCAGGGUAGCUAAGUAUGGAAUAGAUAACCGCUGAAAGCAUCUAAGCGGGAAACUAACCUCAAAACAAGGUCUCGCUGAGGAUCGUGGUAGACGACCACGUUGAUAGGCUGGGUGUGGAAGCUCCGUGAGGAGUGAAGCUAACCAGUACUAAUAAUCCGAUCGGCUUGAUCGU